Molecule: ribosomal RNA, 253 nt
Filed under: uncultured bacterium
Lineage: Bacteria
Description: partial 16S ribosomal RNA
Rfam family: Bacterial small subunit ribosomal RNA
Source: RNAcentral
UACGUAGGGGGCAAGCGUUGUCCGGAAUCAUUGGGCGUAAAGAGCGCGUAGGCGGUCCGGUAAGUCCGCUCUGAAAGUCCGGGGCUCAACCCCGGGAGGCGGGCGGAUACUGCCGGGCUAGAGUCCGGAAGAGGCGAGUGGAAUUCCUGGUGUAGCGGUGAAAUGCGCAGAUAUCAGGAGGAACACCGAUGGCGAAGGCAGCUCGCUGGGACGGUACUGACGCUGAGGCGCGAAAGCUAGGGGAGCGAACAGG